UACGUAGGGUGCAAGCGUUAAUCGGAAUUACUGGGCGUAAAGCGUGCGCAGGCGGUUUUGUAAGUCUGUCGUGAAAGCCCCGGGCUCAACCUGGGAAUUGCGAUGGAGACUGCAAGGCUUGAAUCUGGCAGAGGGGGGUAGAAUUCCACGUGUAGCAGUGAAAUGCGUAGAGAUGUGGAGGAACACCGAUGGCGAAGGCAGCCCCCUGGGUCAAGAUUGACGCUCAUGCACGAAAGCGCUGGGGAGCAAACAGG
RNAcentral lists this ribosomal RNA (254 nucleotides) under uncultured bacterium. RNAcentral describes it as "partial 16S ribosomal RNA". It matches the Rfam family "Bacterial small subunit ribosomal RNA", at positions 524 to 776 of the family's 1533-position model. The record is from RNAcentral.